GUUCAACCAACAAGUCCUAAAUAGGACGAAACACGCGUCCUGGAU
This is a non-coding RNA of Schistosoma rodhaini, 45 nucleotides long. The record is from Rfam. Lineage: Eukaryota; Metazoa; Platyhelminthes; Trematoda; Strigeidida; Schistosomatidae.